This 254-nucleotide ribosomal RNA is filed under the name uncultured Gardnerella sp. RNAcentral describes it as "partial 16S ribosomal RNA". It matches the Rfam family "Bacterial small subunit ribosomal RNA", at positions 101 to 355 of the family's 1533-position model. Lineage: Bacteria; Bacillati; Actinomycetota; Actinomycetes; Bifidobacteriales; Bifidobacteriaceae. The record is from RNAcentral.
AACGGGUGAGUAAUGCGUGACCAACCUGCCCCAUGCUCCAGAAUAGCUCUUGGAAACGGGUGGUAAUGCUGGAUGCUCCAACUUGACGCAUGUCUUGUUGGGAAAGUGUUUAGUGGCAUGGGAUGGGGUCGCGUCCUAUCAACUUGUAGGCGGGGUAAUGGCCCACCUAGGCUUCGACGGGUAGCCGGCCUGAGAGGGCGGACGGCCACAUUGGGACUGAGAUACGGCCCAGACUCCUACGGGAGGCAGCAGCC